This 724-nucleotide ribosomal RNA is filed under the name Paracorniculantispora psalliotae. RNAcentral describes it as "LSU rRNA". It matches the Rfam family "Eukaryotic large subunit ribosomal RNA", at positions 120 to 876 of the family's 3401-position model. The record is from RNAcentral. Lineage: Eukaryota; Fungi; Ascomycota; Sordariomycetes; Hypocreales; Cordycipitaceae.
AUCUGGCCUUCGGGUCCGAGUUGUAAUUUGUAGAGGAUGCUUUUGGCGAGGUGCCUUCCGAGUUCCCUGGAACGGGACGCCAUAGAGGGUGAGAGCCCCGUCUGGUCGGAUACCAAGCCUCUGUAAAGCUCCUUCGACGAGUCGAGUAGUUUGGGAAUGCUGCUCAAAAUGGGAGGUAUAUGUCUUCUAAAGCUAAAUAUUGGCCAGAGACCGAUAGCGCACAAGUAGAGUGAUCGAAAGAUGAAAAGCACUUUGAAAAGAGGGUUAAAAAGUACGUGAAAUUGUUGAAAGGGAAGCGCCUAUGACCAGACUUGGGCCCGGUGAAUCAUCCAGCGUUCUCGCUGGUGCACUUUGCCGGGCACAGGCCAGCAUCAGUUUGGCGCGGGGGAUAAAGGCUUUGGGAAUGUGGCUCCCUCGGGAGUGUUAUAACCCAUUGCGCAAUACCCUGCGCCGGACUGAGGUACGCGCAUCGCAAGGAUGCUGGCGUAAUGGUCAUCAGCGACCCGUCUUGAAACACGGACCAAGGAGUCGUCUUCGUAUGCGAGUGUUCGGGUGUCAAACCCCUACGCGUAAUGAAAGUGAACGCAGGUGAGAGCUUCGGCGCAUCAUCGACCGAUCCUGAUGUUCUCGGAUGGAUUUGAGUAAGAGCAUACGGGGCCGGACCCGAAAGAAGGUGAACUAUGCCUGUAUAGGGUGAAGCCAGAGGAAACUCUGGUGGAGGCUC